RNAcentral lists this long non-coding RNA (1382 nucleotides) under Marmota monax (woodchuck). Lineage: Eukaryota; Metazoa; Chordata; Mammalia; Rodentia; Sciuridae. The record is from RNAcentral.
UAAACCUAAUGCUUGCUUAUCAUUUAAUUCUAAGGAAACAUUCAGAGAAUUACAGAUCACUGAAUAAUAUGGGGAUCAUUGAUUUUUUUUGAGUGAAAACACUUUGAAUUUCUUUACUCUUUAGCAAAUAUUUUGAAAAAUUAAAUACAUGGUAUACUUUAAAGCAAUCUGUCAUUUCAGAUAUUUGAGAAAUAAAAAUGUCUAUUGUUAAAAUAGUGAAGGUUAUUCUCCUUAACAUUGGCCUGUGGAAUUUAAGGUUUUCAUUUCCAGUUGUAGGUAGCAAUGUAAUUUUUGCCUACUUAUGUUUUAUUAUGGAUACAUAUAUCCAUAUUACAGGAUAUAUGUACCCAUAAUAAUAAAUAUACUAAUAUAAUGUUUUCAAGUUUUUUGAUAUCAGGUAUACUGUUCUGUAAAAAGUUGCCUCUUAGCUAUUAAACUCCCAAGAAGUUUUUUGGAUUUGAAAUCAUAUAUCUGGUGAUAUUUACCCAAAUUCAAGCAAUCUGCUGAAGAGCGAAAUGUCCCUAGAAUCCCUUCUGUUCAGGUUGGAAGGAACUUGUGUGACUGUCUAUGCUUUCUAGUCUUAAGACCAUUCUUCUCCAGGGGAAAAAUGAACACAAAGGAAAGACUUCAUUCUGUUGUCAUUCAGAAUCUGGUUUUUUUUUGUUUGUUUGUUUUGCAAUUGGGAUAUUUUCCCUCCCUGAUUCUACCUGCUUUAAAUCUAACUUAAAAGUUUCUUCUUAUUAUCUUUAUCUUUUUUGACUUUAGACUUUAGUUUCUCUGAAAUGAUUUUAGUUCCACUUUUUAAAAAUUGUGUUUUUCAUUAGGUGUACAUCUCUCUUCUUGGAAUUUCUACGUGCAUUAAAAAUCUGAGUUUAUCAGAAAGUAAGAUCCUUUGCAGCGAACUGAUUUUGUUGGCCACAUCAUUUGUACAUUUCUUUAAAACCUAUCCACUAAUCAAUAAUUAAAAUUCCACAGUCAGGUGGAUAUUGACUCUUCAUUCAAACACAAAGAUCAGGCUAACACCCUUUGCCUGAUUUCAACAAAGUUAUAAUCAUUGUGCCUGAGAAUAUCAGGAAAAAUUUAUUCUUUUCUUUUUGUCAUGAAUCAUGGGUAUGAUGUAGUUAUUAGGAAAAAACUGAGUAGAGAGAUACAAGAAUCCAUGUUUAAUGCUCCUAUAACAAGGGUCCACUUUAUGCUUGAGUAUGAAUCUUAUUUCUCCUCCUCCUCCUCCUCCUCCUCCUCUUCCUCCUCCUUCUUCUUUUUCUUCCUCUUCUCCUUCUCCCCAUUCCUAACUGUAAGAGAAGUAAGAUUAAUAUUCUCCUCAUCCUAGGCUGGGUUAUUUGUCCUUUAGCUCAUAGUUCAGAAGAAUGGAGUCCAGACUG